CUAUCUUUACACUUUGCUUCUAUAGUCAGUACCAUCUGAGACUUGGCUUUAAGUUGCAAAUGAAUAUAUCAAAAAAUCCAGAAGGGAAUCUGACCAGAGUGGGAAUUAUCUUAGAAAGCCACGUAAGGAAGAGGAAGUCAGCGAGAAGAAAAGGUGGUUGCAAACCAUUAUGGAGUGAGCCAAGCUUCU
This is a long non-coding RNA of Quercus lobata, 189 nucleotides long. RefSeq lists it as uncharacterized. Lineage: Eukaryota; Viridiplantae; Streptophyta; Magnoliopsida; Fagales; Fagaceae. The transcript is spliced from 3 exons. The record is from RefSeq and is a predicted model, not a curated record.